RNAcentral lists this non-coding RNA (22 nucleotides) under Arabidopsis thaliana (thale cress). Lineage: Eukaryota; Viridiplantae; Streptophyta; Magnoliopsida; Brassicales; Brassicaceae. The record is from RNAcentral.
UUCAAAGGUAUAGCAGGUGGCG